CCUACGGGAGGCUGCAGUGGGGAAUAUUGGACAAUGGGGGGAACCCUGAUCCAGCCAUGCCGCGUGUGUGAAGAAGGCCCUCGGGUUGUAAAGCACUUUCAGUGAGGAAGAACGCCUGGUGGUUAAUACCCAUCAGGAAAGACAUCACUCACAGAAGAAGCACCGGCUAACUCCGUGCCAGCAGCCGCGGUAAUACGGAGGGUGCGAGCGUUAAUCGGAAUUACUGGGCGUAAAGCGCGCGUAGGUGGCUUGAUAAGCCGGUUGUGAAAGCCCCGGGCUCAACCUGGGAACGGCAUCCGGAACUGUCGAGCUAGAGUGCAGGAGAGGAAGGUAGAAUUCCCGGUGUAGCGGUGAAAUGCGUAGAGAUCGGGAGGAAUACCAGUGGCGAAGGCGGCCUUCUGGACUGCCACUGACACUGAGGUGCGAAAGCGUGGGUAGCAAACAGGAUUAGAUACCCGGGUAGUC
RNAcentral lists this ribosomal RNA (465 nucleotides) under Vreelandella stevensii. RNAcentral describes it as "partial 16S ribosomal RNA". It matches the Rfam family "Bacterial small subunit ribosomal RNA", at positions 338 to 795 of the family's 1533-position model. The record is from RNAcentral. Lineage: Bacteria; Pseudomonadati; Pseudomonadota; Gammaproteobacteria; Oceanospirillales; Halomonadaceae.